This 253-nucleotide ribosomal RNA is filed under the name uncultured bacterium. RNAcentral describes it as "partial 16S ribosomal RNA". It matches the Rfam family "Bacterial small subunit ribosomal RNA", at positions 524 to 776 of the family's 1533-position model. The record is from RNAcentral.
UACGAAGGGGGCUAGCGUUGUUCGGAAUCACUGGGCGUAAAGGGCGCGUAGGCGGCUUGAUAAGUCGGGGGUGAAAGCCUGUGGCUCAACCACAGAAUUGCCUUCGAUACUGUCUGGCUAGAGACCGGAAGAGGUAAGUGGAACUGCGAGUGUAGAGGUGAAAUUCGUAGAUAUUCGCAAGAACACCAGUGGCGAAGGCGGCUUACUGGUCCGGUACUGACGCUGAGGUGCGAAAGCGUGGGGAGCAAACAGG